Molecule: ribosomal RNA, 3189 nt
Filed under: Saccharomyces cerevisiae (brewer's yeast)
Lineage: Eukaryota; Fungi; Ascomycota; Saccharomycetes; Saccharomycetales; Saccharomycetaceae
Description: large subunit ribosomal RNA
Rfam family: Bacterial large subunit ribosomal RNA
Source: RNAcentral
AUAAUCAUGGAGUAUAAUAAUUAAAUUUAAUAAAUUUAAUAUAACUAUUAAUAGAAUUAGGUUACUAAUAAAUUAAUAACAAUUAAUUUUAAAACCUAAAGGUAAACCUUUAUAUUAAUAAUGUUAUUUUUUAUUAUUUUUAUAAUAAGAAUAAUUAUUAAUAAUAAUAAACUAAGUGAACUGAAACAUCUAAGUAACUUAAGGAUAAUAAAUCAACAGAGAUAUUAUGAGUAUUGGUGAGAGAAAAUAAUAAAGGUCUAAUAAGUAUUAUGUGAAAAAAAUGUAAGAAAAUAGGAUAACAAAUUCUAAGACUAAAUACUAUUAAUAAGUAUAGUAAGUACCGUAAGGGAAAGUAUGAAAAUGAUUAUUUUAUAAGCAAUCAUGAAUAUAUUAUAUUAUAUUAAUGAUGUACCUUUUGUAUAAUGGGUCAGCAAGUAAUUAAUAUUAGUAAAACAAUAAGUUAUAAAUAAAUAGAAUAAUAUAUAUAUAUAAAAAAAUAUAUUAAAAUAUUUAAUUAAUAUUAAUUGACCCGAAAGCAAACGAUCUAACUAUGAUAAGAUGGAUAAACGAUCGAACAGGUUGAUGUUGCAAUAUCAUCUGAUUAAUUGUGGUUAGUAGUGAAAGACAAAUCUGGUUUGCAGAUAGCUGGUUUUCUAUGAAAUAUAUGUAAGUAUAGCCUUUAUAAAUAAUAAUUAUUAUAUAAUAUUAUAUAAAUAUUAUAUAAAGAAUGGUACAGCAAUUAAUAUAUAUUAGGGAACUAUUAAAGUUUUAUUAAUAAUAUUAAAUCUCGAAAUAUUUAAUUAUAUAUAAUAAAGAGUCAGAUUAUGUGCGAUAAGGUAAAUAAUCUAAAGGGAAACAGCCCAGAUUAAGAUAUAAAGUUCCUAAUAAAUAAUAAGUGAAAUAAAUAUUAAAAUAUUAUAAUAUAAUCAGUUAAUGGGUUUGACAAUAACCAUUUUUUAAUGAACAUGUAACAAUGCACUGAUUUAUAAUAAAUAAAAAAAAUAAUAUUUAAAAUCAAAUAUAUAUAUAUUUGUUAAUAGAUAAUAUACGGAUCUUAAUAAUAAGAAUUAUUUAAUUCCUAAUAUGGAAUAUUAUAUUUUUAUAAUAAUAAUAAAAAUAUAAAUACUGAAUAUCUAAAUAUUAUUAUUACUUUUUUUUUUAAUAAUAAUAAUAUGGUAAUAGAACAUUUAAUGAUAAUAUAUAUUAGUUAUUAAUUAAUAUAUGUAUUAAUUAAAUAGAGAAUGCUGACAUGAGUAACGAAAAAAAGGUAUAAACCUUUUCACCUAAAACAUAAGGUUUAACUAUAAAAGUACGGCCCCUAAUUAAAUUAUAUAAGAAUAUAAAUAUAUUUAAGAUGGGAUAAUCUAUAUUAAUAAAAAUUUAUCUUAAAAUAUAUAUAUUAUUAAUAAUUAUAUUAAUUAAUUAAUAAUAUAUAUAAUUAUAUUAUAUAUUAUAUUUUUAUAUAUAAUAUAUAUAAUAUAAACUAAUAAAGAUCAGGAAAUAAUUAAUGUAUACCGUAAUGUAGACCGACUCAGGUAUGUAAGUAGAGAAUAUGAAGGUGAAUUAGAUAAUUAAAGGGAAGGAACUCGGCAAAGAUAGCUCAUAAGUUAGUCAAUAAAGAGUAAUAAGAACAAAGUUGUACAACUGUUUACUAAAAACACCGCACUUUGCAGAAACGAUAAGUUUAAGUAUAAGGUGUGAACUCUGCUCCAUGCUUAAUAUAUAAAUAAAAUUAUUUAACGAUAAUUUUAUUAAAUUUAGGUAAAUAGCAGCCUUAUUAUGAGGGUUAUAAUGUAGCGAAAUUCCUUGGCCUAUAAUUGAGGUCCCGCAUGAAUGACGUAAUGAUACAACAACUGUCUCCCCUUUAAGCUAAGUGAAAUUGAAAUCGUAGUGAAGAUGCUAUGUACCUUCAGCAAGACGGAAAGACCCUAUGCAGCUUUACUGUAAUUAGAUAGAUCGAAUUAUUGUUUAUUAUAUUCAGCAUAUUAAGUAAUCCUAUUAUUAGGUAAUCGUUUAGAUAUUAAUGAGAUACUUAUUAUAAUAUAAUGAUAAUUCUAAUCUUAUAAAUAAUUAUUAUUAUUAUUAUUAUUAAUAAUAAUAAUAUGCUUUCAAGCAUAGUGAUAAAACAUAUUUAUAUGAUAAUCACUUUACUUAAUAGAUAUAAUUCUUAAGUAAUAUAUAAUAUAUAUUAUAUAUAUAUUAUAUAUAAUAUAAGAGACAAUCUCUAAUUGGUAGUUUUGAUGGGGCGUCAUUAUCAGCAAAAGUAUCUGAAUAAGUCCAUAAAUAAAUAUAUAAAAUUAUUGAAUAAAAAAAUAAUAUAUAUUAUAUAUAUUAAUUAUAAAUUGAAAUAUGUUUAUAUAAAUUUAUAUUUAUUGAAUAUAUUUUAGUAAUAGAUAAAAAUAUGUACAGUAAAAUUGUAAGGAAAACAAUAAUAACUUUCUCCUCUCUCGGUGGGGGUUCACACCUAUUUUUAAUAGGUGUGAACCCCUCUUCGGGGUUCCGGUUCCCUUUCGGGUCCCGGAACUUAAAUAAAAAUGGAAAGAAUUAAAUUAAUAUAAUGGUAUAACUGUGCGAUAAUUGUAACACAAACGAGUGAAACAAGUACGUAAGUAUGGCAUAAUGAACAAAUAACACUGAUUGUAAAGGUUAUUGAUAACGAAUAAAAGUUACGCUAGGGAUAACAGGGUAAUAUAACGAAAGAGUAGAUAUUGUAAGUUAUGUUUGCCACCUCGAUGUCGACUCAACAUUUCCUCUUGGUUGUAAAAGCUAAGAAGGGUUUGACUGUUCGUCAAUUAAAAUGUUACGUGAGUUGGGUUAAAUACGAUGUGAAUCAGUAUGGUUCCUAUCUGCUGAAGGAAAUAUUAUCAAAUUAAAUCUCAUUAUUAGUACGCAAGGACCAUAAUGAAUCAACCCAUGGUGUAUCUAUUGAUAAUAAUAUAAUAUAUUUAAUAAAAAUAAUACUUUAUUAAUAUAUUAUCUAUAUUAGUUUAUAUUUUAAUUAUAUAUUAUCAUAGUAGAUAAGCUAAGUUGAUAAUAAAUAAAUAUUGAAUACAUAUUAAAUAUGAAGUUGUUUUAAUAAGAUAAUUAAUCUGAUAAUUUUAUACUAAAAUUAAUAAUUAUAGGUUUUAUAUAUUAUUUAUAAAUAUAAUAUAAUAAUUAUUAUUAUUAAUAAAAAAAAUAUUAAUUAUA